UUUCCGUAGGUGAACCUGCGGAAGGAUCAUUAAAGAGAUCAUGCCCUCACGGGUAGACCUCCCACCCUUUGUUUACAAUACCUUUGUUGCUUUGGCGGGCCCGUUUGGCCCCGCGCUGAACAACCAGCCCCGGCUGGUCAGUGCCCGCCAGAGAACCGAAAACUCUGAAUUAAAUGUCGUCUGAGUACUAUGUAAUAGUUAAAACUUUCAACAACGGAUCUCUUGGUUCUG
Molecule: unclassified non-coding RNA, 231 nt
Filed under: plant metagenome
Description: partial contains small subunit ribosomal RNA, internal transcribed spacer 1, and 5.8S ribosomal RNA
Source: RNAcentral